Molecule: ribosomal RNA, 254 nt
Filed under: uncultured bacterium
Lineage: Bacteria
Description: partial 16S ribosomal RNA
Rfam family: Bacterial small subunit ribosomal RNA
Source: RNAcentral
UACGUAGGGUGCGAGCGUUAUCCGGAAUUAUUGGGCGUAAAGAGCUCGUAGGCGGUUUGUCGCGUCUGUCGUGAAAGUCCGGGGCUUAACCCCGGAUCUGCGGUGGGUACGGGCAGACUAGAGUGCAGUAGGGGAGACUGGAAUUCCUGGUGUAGCGGUGGAAUGCGCAGAUAUCAGGAGGAACACCGAUGGCGAAGGCAGGUCUCUGGGCUGGUAACUGACGCUGAGGAGCGAAAGCAUGGGAAGCGAACAGG